UUUUAAUGCUGAGUAUUAUGCCAUUGUGUACAAAUACCACAGUUUUUUUUAUCCAUUCAUCUAUUAAAAGGCAUCUAGGUUGGUUUCACAGUUUAGUUAUUGGAAAUUCUGCUGCUAUAAGUGUUAAUGUGGCUGCGUCACUAUAGUAUAUUUAUUUUUAAGUCCUUUGGGAAUAGAACAAGGAAUGGGAUAGCUGGGUCAAAUGGUGGUUCCAUUCCAAGUUUUCUAAGGAAUCUCCAUACUGCUUUCCAGAUUGGUUGCACCAAUGUGCAGUCUGACAAGCAAUGUGUGAGUGUGCCUUUUCCCCCACAUCCUCAUCAACACUUACUGUUGCUUGUAUUCUUGAUAACUGCCAUUCUGACUAGAGUGAGAUGAAAUCUUUGAGUAUUUUUGAUUUGCAUUUCUCUAAUUACUAGAGACAUUGAACAUUUUUUCAUAUAUUUGUUGAUCGAUUCUAUAUCUUCCUCUGAGAAGUAUCUGUUCAGAUCCUUAGACCAUUUAUUGAUUAGAUUUUUGUUAUUUUGUUGUUAAUUUUUUUGAGUUCUUUACAUACCCUGGAUAUUAGUGCCCUAACUGACUUUGCUCCCAAAAUGUAGGCUUUCUCUUCACCUCAUUGUUUCUUUUGCUAAGAAGAAGCUUUUUAAUUUGAAUCCACCCCAUUAUUAAAACUGAAUCAUGAGGACAUACACAAUUUAAACAGAUCAAUUUAAAGCAAGGAAAUAGAAGAUGCUACCAAAAGCCUACCAAUCAAGCAAAGUCUGGGACCAGAUAGAUUCUCAGCCAAGUUUUACAAGACCUACAAAUAAGAAUUAACACCAAUACUCCUCAAAUUAUUCCAUGAAAUAGAAAAGGAGAGGACCCUUCCAAACUCAUUCUAUGAGGCUAGUAUCAUUGUGAUACCAAAACUAGACAGAGACACAUCAAGGAAAUAAAAUUUCAGACCACUAUCCCUGAUGAACAUAGAUGCAAAAAGUCUCAAUAAAAUUUUGGCAAAUCGCAUACAAAAAAAUAUUUUAAAAAAUAGUGCACCGUGAUCAAGUAGAGUUCAUUCCAGGGAUGCAAGUUUGGUUCAACAUAUGGAAAUCAAUAAAGGUAAUUCAUCACAUCAGUAGAUUUAAAGAUACAAUCAUAUGAUAUAAUUGAUGCAGAGAAAGCAUUUGACAAAAUACAGCACCCUUUCAUGUUCAAAACACUAAAAAAACUAGGGAUAGUAGGAACAUACCUCAACAUUUUAAAAGCUAUCUAUGCUAAGCCCCAGGCCAACAUCAUUCUAAAUGAAUAAAAUUUGGAACAACACAGGGCUGCCCUCUUUCACAACUUCUAUUCAACAUAGUCCAUGAAACUGUAGCCAGAGCAAUUAGAAAGAUGAAAGAAAUUAAAGGGAUACUAAUAGGAGAAGAAGAACGCAAACAAUCAUUAUUUGCCAACAACAUGAUUCUAUACUUAGAGGAUCCAAAAAAUUCCACCAGAUAACUUCUAGAAUUAAUAAGUGAAUUCAGCAAAGUAGCAGGUUAUAAAAUCAAUACCCAUAAAUCAAAUGCAUUUCUAUACAUCAGUGAUGAAUCCUCUGAAAGAGAAAUUAGGAAAACUACCCCAUUCACAAUAGCCUCAAAAAAAUAAUAAUAACUGGGAAUCAAUUUAACAAAAGAGGUGAAAGACCUCUACAAUGAAAACUACAGAACACUAAAGAAAGAAAUUGAAGAAGACCUUAGAAAAUGGAAAGAUCUUCCAUGCUCUUGAAUAGUCAGAAUCAAUAUUGUCAAAAUGGCCAUACUACCCAAAGCACUAUACAGAGUCAAUGAGAUUCCAAUUAAAAUCCCAGUGUCAUUUAUUUUUAAAAAAAUAUUUUUAAUUGUUGAUAUACCUUUAUUUUUUAUUUAUUUAUAUGUGGUGCUGAGGAUCAAACCCAGUGCCUCACACAUGCGAGGCAAGUGCUCUGCCACUGAGCCAUGAUCCCAGCCCCCCAAUGUCAUUUCUCACAGAAAUAAAAAAAAAAAAAAUCAUGAAAUUCAUUUGGAAAAAUAAAGAAACCCAGAAUAGCCAAAGCAAUCUUUAGCAAGAAGAGUGAAACAGGAGGCAUCACAAUACCAGAACUUAAACUAUACUACAAAGCUAUAGUAACAAAUGACAUGGUAUUGGCACCAAAAUAGACGUGUAGACCAAUGGUACAGAAUAGAAGACAUAGAGACAAACCCACAUAAAUACAGUUAUCUCAUACUGAACAAAGGAGCCAAAAAACAUACAUUGGAGAAAAGAUAACCUCCUCAACAAAUGCUGCUGGGAAAAAUGGAAAUCCAUAUGCAGCAAAAUGAAAUUAAACCCCAUCUCUCACCUUGCACAAAACUCAACUCAAAGUGGAUCAAGGACCUAGGAAUUAGACUAGAGACCCUGUGCCUAAUAGAAGAAAAAGUAGGCCCAAAUCUUCAUUGUGUCAGAUUAGGCCCUGACUUCCUUAACAAGACUCCUAAAGUGUAAGAAAUAAAAUCAAUAAUCAAUAAAUGGGAACAGCAUUUAUGAGGGGAGAAAAGGAGAUACAAUGGGACAAAAGGCAAGAAAUCCCUGUGCUGGGUAGAGGUUGCCUACUUCUACGAGUGUCAUGUCUUUUAGCCUCUGUUCCCUCUUCAUCACACCAAAGGGAACCUCCUGGGACCAGCAUCUGGAUUUCCUUUUCCAAAGAGGAGAGGGUAUUACAGAGGGCUCUAUUUGUGUGUGUGUGUGUGUGUUUGUGUGUGUGUGUGUGUCUUGCUGGGGAUUGAACCCAGGGCCUUGUGCAUGAAAGGCAAGCACUCUACCAACUGAGCUAUAUCCCCAGCCUGAGGGCUGUAUAUAGAAUUUAGAAUAAUAUGUAAAAAAGAAA
This 2857-nucleotide long non-coding RNA is filed under the name Marmota monax (woodchuck). The record is from RNAcentral. Lineage: Eukaryota; Metazoa; Chordata; Mammalia; Rodentia; Sciuridae.